RNAcentral lists this long non-coding RNA (1230 nucleotides) under Monodelphis domestica (gray short-tailed opossum). Its description in RNAcentral is "lncRNA (ENSMODG00000035536.2)". Lineage: Eukaryota; Metazoa; Chordata; Mammalia; Didelphimorphia; Didelphidae. The record is from RNAcentral.
AGUCAAGACAAGACCAGUGGCAAAACAAAAGUCAAGACAACUGGUGAUGGUCCAGGAUACAAUGGAUGAACUUGGUCCUACUAAACUAAAAGCUACACAGGACCUGCUUCAGAUACCCUUAUGGCCAUUGGAACAGACCAUUCUCAUACAUCCAUUUCACCAAAAGUCUUCACAUUCCCCUAAGUCACCAAUGGAUGCCUUCCACAUUGUUUAGCCCAUCUAACAUGACUGUUUUAUUGGGAUAUGGCCAGUGAGAUUCUUGGAGCCACAAGUGAGAGUUGGGUGAAAGGAGGACACCCAAGUUAAUAACUAGCCCUAAAAAGGGCUCAGCAAACCCUCCCCCAGAGGUGCUAGAACUCCCUAAAUACCCCAUACACCCCAUAGUGGGGAUCACAUAUAGAAUCAAGGAGGUUCCAGUUCUAGGAGAAUACUCUAAAGUGCAGAGACAGUCCAUCCCUCCCACAUCAUCACAGAUAUCUGGAAACAGGCUCCCUAAGAUUCCACUUGGGACCCCUGCUAUGGUCCCAGGACUGGACCCUCAAUGCUACUCACAAGCUUAAAAGAAGAGAAUGUAAAUAUACACAGUCAGAGGAAGAAUGGUCAAGGAAAAGUAAAGAAAUUGUGAAACAAGGGCCAUUCACUUUGAAAUCAGAAUCUGAAACACUAAUACAUUAUUGGAGGAACUGUGAACUGAUCCAACCAUUUUGGAGAGCAAUCUGGAAUCAUUCCAAGAGAGUUAUAAAACUGUGUAUAUCUUUAGAUCCAAUAAUAUCACUUUUGAGUCUGUUUCCUAAGGUGAUCAGGGAAAAAGGAAAAGAACCUAAAUGCUCUAAAAUAUUUAUAGGAACUCUCCUUGUGGUAGCAAAGAACUGGAAAUUGAGGGGAUGUCCAUCAGUUGAGGAAUGACAGAACAAGUUGUGGCAUGAUUGUGGUGGAAUUCUUCUGUGCUGUAAGAAAUGAAGAGCUGGUUAAUUUAAAAAACCAUGGAAAGACCUAUAUGAAAUUAAUAAUUUGAAGAAAAUCUUGAGGAUGUCAACUUCCAACUUAUACAAAGUAUGUACAAUAUGUAUAUAUAUAUGUAAAUAUAUAUUUCUUGUAAAAUAAUGCCUUCUCUAGUGUGGAGAGGAGAGGGAGUGAGGCAGAUAUCUAGGAAUGUUAAGGUCACCAACAAACUAAUUAAUUUUUUAAAAAAGAAAUAAAGCAGAAUCUGAGAAAUGGAAUCUUUCUACA